GAUGAACGCUAGCGAUAGGCUUAACACAUGCAAGUCGAGGGGCAGCAUGGUCUUAGCUUGCUAAGACUGAUGGCGACCGGCGCACGGGUGCGUAACGCGUAUGCAACUUGCCUCACAGAGGGGGAUAACCCGUCGAAAGACGGACUAAUACCGCGUACACUCCAUCUUGGGCAUCCAAGGUAGAGGAAAUGAAAUUCGCUGUGAGAUAGGCAUGCGUCCCAUUAGCUAGUUGGUGAGGUAACGGCUCACCAAGGCGACGAUGGGUAGGGGAUCUGAGAGGUUGAACCCCCACACUGGUACUGAGACACGGACCAGACUCCUACGGGAGGCAGCAGUGAGGAAUAUUGGUCAAUGGGCGAGAGCCUGAACCAGCCAAGUCGCGUGAAGGAUGACUGUCUUAUGGAUUGUAAACUUCUUUUAUACGGGAAUAACAAGAGUCACGUGUGACUCCCUGCAUGUACCGUAUGAAUAAGCAUCGGCUAACUCCGUG
RNAcentral lists this ribosomal RNA (490 nucleotides) under uncultured bacterium. Its description in RNAcentral is "partial 16S ribosomal RNA". It matches the Rfam family "Bacterial small subunit ribosomal RNA", at positions 28 to 507 of the family's 1533-position model. The record is from RNAcentral.